RNAcentral lists this ribosomal RNA (564 nucleotides) under Pseudomonas sp. LR42. Its description in RNAcentral is "bacterial SSU rRNA". It matches the Rfam family "Bacterial small subunit ribosomal RNA", at positions 57 to 616 of the family's 1533-position model. The record is from RNAcentral. Lineage: Bacteria; Pseudomonadati; Pseudomonadota; Gammaproteobacteria; Pseudomonadales; Pseudomonadaceae.
GCGAGUCGAGCGGUAGAGAGAAGCUUGCUUCUCUUGAGAGCGGCGGACGGGUGAGUAAUGCCUAGGAAUCUGCCUGGUAGUGGGGGAUAACGUCCGGAAACGGACGCUAAUACCGCAUACGUCCUACGGGAGAAAGCAGGGGACCUUCGGGCCUUGCGCUAUCAGAUGAGCCUAGGUCGGAUUAGCUAGUUGGUGAGGUAAUGGCUCACCAAGGCGACGAUCCGUAACUGGUCUGAGAGGAUGAUCAGUCACACUGGAACUGAGACACGGUCCAGACUCCUACGGGAGGCAGCAGUGGGGAAUAUUGGACAAUGGGCGAAAGCCUGAUCCAGCCAUGCCGCGUGUGUGAAGAAGGUCUUCGGAUUGUAAAGCACUUUAAGUUGGGAGGAAGGGCAUUAACCUAAUACGUUAGUGUUUUGACGUUACCGACAGAAUAAGCACCGGCUAACUCUGUGCCAGCAGCCGCGGUAAUACAGAGGGUGCAAGCGUUAAUCGGAAUUACUGGGCGUAAAGCGCGCGUAGGUGGUUUGUUAGGUUGGAUGUGAAAUCCUCGGGCUCAACCUG